Molecule: long non-coding RNA, 441 nt
Organism: Ceratina calcarata
Lineage: Eukaryota; Metazoa; Arthropoda; Insecta; Hymenoptera; Apidae
Exons: 2
Source: RefSeq, a predicted model, not a curated record
UUAUUCGACAGCUCACGGAUUUUAAAUAAAUUUUCAUUAAAACCCCGAAACCGAUUACUUAACCUUAAAAGUCAAUGUACAACAAACAACGAUCAACCUUUUCGAACAAAGCAUACGGAGUGGCAGUAUAAUAACAAUUAUCGGAAAUAAGCGAAAGCAGUAACAAAAAAUUGGUAUAUACCGAUGAAGACAGAUUGUUGUUUGUUAUUCGAAAUUCGGAGGAUCAAACUUGUUGGAGUUAUUACCAUGUACGUCACUCUCCUAAGCGAAUAAUUGUACUUUCGGAUCUUGGGAAUAACGAACAAUUCCAAUCGAGAACAAUGUUUUCUUACAAAAGUACGAAAAUGCAACCAGCAACACGCACGCUAGACGGGCUAGUUAAUUGACUUUUGAAAAUGUAUUGAAAUGUCGUAAUAAUAAAGCAGGAUUCUUUCUAACGUU